AGCGAACGCUGGCGGCAUGCCUAACACAUGCAAGUCUGACGGGCCUGGGGCUUGCUCCGGGUCAGUGGCGGACGGGUGAGGAACGCGUAGGAACGUAUCCAAGGGUGGGGAUAACCGCGGGAAACGUGCGGCUAAUACCGCAUGGGCCUCAAGGAGACCUGGGGCCGAAAGGCUGAGGGAAACCUUGGUCGCCGAUGGAGCGGCCUGCGUCCGAUUAGCUAGUUGGUGGGGUGACGGCUUACCAAGGCUACGAUCGGUAGCUGGUCUGAGAGGAUGAUCAGCCACACUGGGACUGAGACACGGCCCAGACUCCUACGGGA
This 320-nucleotide ribosomal RNA is filed under the name uncultured bacterium. RNAcentral's name for it is "bacterial SSU rRNA". It matches the Rfam family "Bacterial small subunit ribosomal RNA", at positions 30 to 346 of the family's 1533-position model. The record is from RNAcentral.